GAUGAACGCUGGCGGCGUGCCUAAUACAUGCAAGUCGAGCGAACAGACGAGGAGCUUGCUCCUCUGACGUUAGCGGCGGACGGGUGAGUAACACGUGGAUAACCUACCUAUAAGACUGGGAUAACUUCGGGAAACCGGAGCUAAUACCGGAUAAUAUAUUGAACCGCAUGGUUCAAUAGUGAAAGACGGUUUUGCUGUCACUUAUAGAUGGAUCCGCGCCGCAUUAGCUAGUUGGUAAGGUAACGGCUUACCAAGGCAACGAUGCGUAGCCGACCUGAGAGAGUGAGCGGCCACACUGGAACUGAGACACGGUCCAGACUCCUACGGGAGGCAGCAGUAGGGAAUCUUACGCAAUGGGCGAAAGCCUGACGGAGCAACGCCGCGUGAGUGAUGAAGGUCUUCGGAUCGUAAAACUCUGUUAUUAGGGAAGAACAAAUGUGUAAGUAACUAUGCACGUCUUGACGGUACCUAAUCAGAAAGCCACGGCUAACUACGUG
This 497-nucleotide ribosomal RNA is filed under the name uncultured bacterium. RNAcentral describes it as "partial 16S ribosomal RNA". It matches the Rfam family "Bacterial small subunit ribosomal RNA", at positions 28 to 507 of the family's 1533-position model. The record is from RNAcentral.